AUCCAAUCAUAAACUAACAUCAGGGUUGGGAGUGAGGGUCAAGGAAGUGCAAUACAACUCAAUAUACCACUAAAAAGGCUCUACAAAUCUUUGAAAUAGAGGAAAUGAAAUCAAUUUACAAAAGAAAUCAUUUCACAAUUCGGAAUCAAUUUGAUUACUCAUCAACCCCUCGUAAUUACUCUCAAUGUUUCCUCAAAUGCAUGUACAGAAUAAUCAAGCAUGGAGAAUCAAGAUUAUAGAGAAAUCUACUACAAUAUCAAUCAAUAUGCUCAAGUGGAAUCAAUUCACACUUGGCGACAUUCAUGAAAAUGAAUUAAGGAUGCUCAUGGUGCAAAGUACAUGACUCCCACUCACCUGUCAAUCCGGCACGGCCUCGAUACACCUCCAAAAAUCUACAGUAGGCAGUGGAAAACUUCUUCUUCUUGUUUCCUAGCUUCUUGCCCAACUGUGACAUGCAUUUAUAAUACAUUUAGUCCUGUAUCAAGAGUCAUAAUCUACGUGCC
This 503-nucleotide long non-coding RNA is filed under the name Phoenix dactylifera (date palm). RNAcentral describes it as "long non-coding RNA (PDAC_LNC023011)". Lineage: Eukaryota; Viridiplantae; Streptophyta; Magnoliopsida; Arecales; Arecaceae. The record is from RNAcentral.